RNAcentral lists this unclassified non-coding RNA (524 nucleotides) under Hevea brasiliensis (rubber tree). Lineage: Eukaryota; Viridiplantae; Streptophyta; Magnoliopsida; Malpighiales; Euphorbiaceae. The record is from RNAcentral.
CUGGUAUCCUCAAUAGAUCAUAUGGGAUAAACAUGAACUAAGCAGUAAAAGCACAGCGCUUGGUGGAUGGCUAUCAUACGGGAUGGUUAUGAUGAAUAUUCACAUAAUGUAAACUUGAAAAGAUUGGAUGAUGGUAAUUGUCAAGGAAAAUUUCUAUCGAAAGUUUGCAAAAACUGCCCCUAUGAUAAGCUGAGCUCUAGUGGAAAAAGGUGGUGGAUUUGUGGCUUACGUCACAUCUUCAAGCCCCACACCAUGCAAAGCGAAGCCCGGUAUAUAAGUGGAGAAGGGUAGAGGGGCGGGGACAUUAUCCACGGAGUUUAGAAGGCUCUGAUAGGUACAACAGGCAGGUCAUAUGCAUAUUUUUCUGUUAUAAAAAAAAUAUUGUGGAGAAUUUCAGAAUUAUUGAUGACAAGGGUACAGUCUAUCUUAAACUCUAGAACUGUCCAGGAACAAUUUUCAUCUUCCUUAUCUCCAAGAGCAAUGCAUUGUUGAUCUACUUGAGUGCUUCCUGACUACUAACUUUC